CAAUAGCGUAUAUUAACGUUGUUGCAGUUAAAAAGCUCGUAGUUGGAUUUCUGGAGGGAGCGUCGGCCCGUAUUUACGAGUGCGUGACGUCUCUGUCCAUCCUUGCGGGAAGGCACGGCAUUGAUUUGUUGUGUCGGAUCGCAUCAUUUACUGUGAAAAAAUUAGAGUGUUCAAAGCAGGCUUUCGCUUGAAUACAUUAGCAUGGAAUAAUAAGAUAGGACUUUGGUGCUAUUUUGUUGGUUGAGCCUAAAGUAAUGAUUAAUAGGGAUAGUUGAAAACACCUGUAUUGCGUUGUCAGAGGUGAAAUUCUUGGAUUUACGCAAGACAAACAGCUGCGAAAGCGUCUGCCAAGGAUGUUUUCAUUAA
Molecule: ribosomal RNA, 366 nt
Filed under: uncultured eukaryote
Lineage: Eukaryota
Description: partial 18S ribosomal RNA
Rfam family: Eukaryotic small subunit ribosomal RNA
Source: RNAcentral